CCAACCACUAUCGGGGCUCUCUAAUGCAGCCUUGAUGCCGUUGUGUCUGUCAGAGAUCACGAGAAUACCUUGCUGUGGAGUGACAUGCCUUCUAAGGUUCGAUAGAAAGUACGACCAAGAAUCUGCGUUCUCUCCCUCCACGAGUGCAAACCCAACAGGCAAAAUGUUUGAGUUACCAUCCUGUGCGAUCGCCAACAACAACGUCCCGCCAUAUUUGCCAUACAGGUGUGUGCCGUCGAUGCUU
RNAcentral lists this long non-coding RNA (244 nucleotides) under Arachis ipaensis. RNAcentral describes it as "long non-coding RNA (AIPA_LNC001434)". Lineage: Eukaryota; Viridiplantae; Streptophyta; Magnoliopsida; Fabales; Fabaceae. The record is from RNAcentral.